GGGCCCGCACAAGCGGUGGAGCAUGUGGUUUAAUUCGAUGAUACGCGAGGAACCUUACCAGGGCUUAAAUGUAACGGGACAGAUCUAGAGAUAGAUCCUUCUUCGGACUCAUUACAAGGUGCUGCAUGGUUGUCGUCAGCUCGUGCCGUGAGGUGUCAGGUUAAGUCCUAUAACGAGCGCAACCCCCAUCGUUAGUUGCCAACGAGUAAUGUCGGGAACUCUAACGAAACUGCCGGUGCAAACCGUGAGGAAGGUGGGGAUGACGUCAAAUCAUCACGGCCCUUACGUCCUGGGCUACACACGUGCUACAAUGGUCGGUACAGAGAGCAGCCACUACGCGAGUAGGAGCAAAUCUUCAAAGCCGAUCUCAGUUCGGAUCGGAGUCUGCAACUCGCCUACGUGAAGGCGGAAUCGCUAGUAAUCGC
Molecule: ribosomal RNA, 425 nt
Filed under: uncultured bacterium
Lineage: Bacteria
Description: bacterial SSU rRNA
Rfam family: Bacterial small subunit ribosomal RNA
Source: RNAcentral